GCAGUCGAACGAUGAAGCCCAGCUUGCUGGGUGGAUUAGUGGCGAACGGGUGAGUAACACGUGAGCAACCUGCCCCUGACUCUGGGAUAAGCGCUGGAAACGGCGUCUAAUACUGGAUAUGUCCCGUCACCGCAUGGUGUGCGGGUGGAAAGAUUUUUCGGUUGGGGAUGGGCUCGCGGCCUAUCAGCUUGUUGGUGAGGUAAUGGCUCACCAAGGCGUCGACGGGUAGCCGGCCUGAGAGGGUGACCGGCCACACUGGGACUGAGACACGGCCCAGACUCCUACGGGAGGCAGCAGUGGGGAAUAUUGCACAAUGGGCGAAAGCCUGAUGCAGCAACGCCGCGUGAGGGAUGACGGCCUUCGGGUUGUAAACCUCUUUUAGCAGGGAAGAAGCGAAAGUGACGGUACCUGCAGAAAAAGCACCGGCUAACUACGUGCCAGCAGCCGCGGUAAUACGUAGGGUGCAAGCGUUAUCCGGAAUUAUUGGGCGUAAAGAGCUCGUAGGCGGUCUGUCGCGUCUGCUGUGAAAUCCCGAGGCUCAACCUCGGGCUUGCAGUGGGUACGGGCAGACUAGAGUGCGGUAGGGGAGAUUGGAAUUCCUGGUGUAGCGGUGGAAUGCGCAGAUAUCAGGAGGAACACCGAUGGCGAAGGCAGAUCUCUGGGCCGUAACUGACGCUGAGGAGCGAAAGGGUGGGGAGCAAACAGGCUUAGAUACCCUGGUAGUCCACCCCGUAAACGUUGGGAACUAGUUGUGGGGUCCUUUCCACGGAUUCCGUGACGCAGCUAACGCAUUAAGUUCCCCGCCUGGGGAGUACGGCCGCAAGGCUAAAACUCAAAGGAAUUGACGGGGACCCGCACAAGCGGCGGAGCAUGCGGAUUAAUUCGAUGCAACGCGAAGAACCUUACCAAGGCUUGACAUACACGAGAACGGGCCAGAAAUGGUCAACUCUUUGGACACUCGUGAACAGGUGGUGCAUGGUUGUCGUCAGCUCGUGUCGUGAGAUGUUGGGUUAAGUCCCGCAACGAGCGCAACCCUCGUUCUAUGUUGCCAGCACGUAAUGGUGGGAACUCAUGGGAUACUGCCGGGGUCAACUCGGAGGAAGGUGGGGAUGACGUCAAAUCAUCAUGCCCCUUAUGUCUUGGGCUUCACGCAUGCUACAAUGGCCGGUACAAUGGGCUGCGAUACCGUAAGGUGGAGCGAAUCCCAAAAAGCCGGUCCCAGUUCGGAUUGAGGUCUGCAACUCGACCUCAUGAAGUCGGAGUCGCUAGUAAUCGCAGAUCAGCAACG
This 1288-nucleotide ribosomal RNA is filed under the name Microbacterium sp. LC507. RNAcentral's name for it is "bacterial SSU rRNA". It matches the Rfam family "Bacterial small subunit ribosomal RNA", at positions 57 to 1356 of the family's 1533-position model. Lineage: Bacteria; Bacillati; Actinomycetota; Actinomycetes; Micrococcales; Microbacteriaceae. The record is from RNAcentral.